This 92-nucleotide signal recognition particle RNA is filed under the name human gut metagenome. Its description in RNAcentral is "Bacterial small signal recognition particle RNA". It matches the Rfam family "Bacterial small signal recognition particle RNA". Rfam says of the family: The signal recognition particle (SRP) is a universally conserved ribonucleoprotein involved in the co-translational targeting of proteins to membranes. Archaeal SRP consists of a 7S RNA and homologues of the eukaryotic SRP19 and SRP54 proteins. RNAcentral also lists the same sequence under 1 other name. The record is from RNAcentral.
CGGGUCCCAUACGACGAGCGCCGGCGAACCCCGUCAGAUCCGGAAGGAAGCAGCGGCAGUCAGGUUUCUCGGGCGUUGUGGUCAACCCGGCU